GCCUUCCAAGCUCAGGUUGGUAGAGCGCGCGGUUGAAGCCCGCGAGGAUGUCGGUUCGACCCCGACGGAAGGCA
This 74-nucleotide transfer RNA is filed under the name Cryptosporangium aurantiacum. It matches the Rfam family "tRNA". From Rfam's summary of the family: Transfer RNA (tRNA) molecules are approximately 80 nucleotides in length. Their secondary structure includes four short double-helical elements and three loops (D, anti-codon, and T loops). The record is from Rfam by way of RNAcentral. Lineage: Bacteria; Bacillati; Actinomycetota; Actinomycetes; Cryptosporangiales; Cryptosporangiaceae.